GUACUAAGAAAUUUGAACAAGAAACUAGACAGAAAUACUUGCAGCAGCCAGGUUUCCUCCAGCGCUGUCUCCAGACACACAGAGCCGCUCCGGGUCGAUGCUGUACUGCUGCAAGAGUUCAGCAGACAGGAAGACCCGCGACGCUGCCACGGCGUCGUGGUACUGAUCCGGAAACACGGCCUCGGGAGCCAGGCGUUUCUGGGCAGAAAUCGUUCCCUGGUCUCAUCAGUUCAACCGUGUCCAUGACAACUGAACGAACUCUUUGUUUGUCGAAACGGACACAAUGUACCGUGAAGUUGAACAUAAAAAACCUCCUGUUUCAUGAAAGCCACAGCAGCACUGCAGUUAGCAAGAAGAAGAAGAAAAUAAAAGGAAUGAAUUUGCUGAUUUAA
Molecule: long non-coding RNA, 392 nt
Organism: Poecilia reticulata (guppy)
Lineage: Eukaryota; Metazoa; Chordata; Actinopteri; Cyprinodontiformes; Poeciliidae
Source: RefSeq, a predicted model, not a curated record